AGACGAACGCUGGCGGCGUGCUUAACACAUGCAAGUCGAACGGAAAGGCCCUGCUUGCAGGGUACUCGAGUGGCGAACGGGUGAGUAACACGUGGGUGAUCUGCCCUGCACUUCGGGAUAAGCUUGGGAAACUGGGUCUAAUACCGGAUAGGAACCAUCUUUAGUGUGGAGGUUGGAAAGUUUUUUCGGUGUAGGAUGAGCUCGCGGCCUAUCAGCUUGUUGGUGGGGUAAUGGCCUACCAAGGCGGCGACGGGUAGCCGGCCUGAGAGGGUGUACGGCCACAUUGGGACUGAGAUACGGCCCAGACUCCUACGGGAGGCAGCAGUGGGGAAUAUUGCACAAUGGGCGCAAGCCUGAUGCAGCGACGCCGCGUGGGGGAUGAAGGCCUUCGGGUUGUAAACUCCUUUCGCUAGGGACGAAGCUUUUUGUGACGGUACCUAGAUAAGAAGCACCGGCUAACUACGUGCCAGCAGCCGCGGUAAUACGUAGGGUGCGAGCGUUGUCCGGAAUUACUGGGCGUAAAGGGCUCGUAGGUGGUUUGUCGCGUCGUCUGUGAAAUUCUGGGGCUUAACUCCGGGCGUGCAGGCGAUACGGGCAUAACUUGAGUGCUGUAGGGGUAACUGGAAUUCCUGGUGUAGCGGUGAAAUGCGCAGAUAUCAGGAGGAACACCGAUGGCGAAGGCAGGUUACUGGGCAGUUACUGACGCUGAGGAGCGA
RNAcentral lists this ribosomal RNA (716 nucleotides) under uncultured Actinomycetales bacterium. RNAcentral's name for it is "bacterial SSU rRNA". It matches the Rfam family "Bacterial small subunit ribosomal RNA", at positions 26 to 756 of the family's 1533-position model. Lineage: Bacteria; Bacillati; Actinomycetota; Actinomycetes; Actinomycetales. The record is from RNAcentral.